This 423-nucleotide ribosomal RNA is filed under the name uncultured bacterium. RNAcentral describes it as "bacterial SSU rRNA". It matches the Rfam family "Bacterial small subunit ribosomal RNA", at positions 207 to 622 of the family's 1533-position model. The record is from RNAcentral.
AAGACCUUGCGCUUUUGGAGCGGCCGAUGUCUGAUUAGCUUGUUGGUAAGGUAAAAGCUUACCAAGGCUUCGAUCAGUAGCUGGUCUGAGAGGACGGCCAGCCACACUGGGACUGAGACACGGCCCAGACUCCUACGGGAGGCAGCAGUGGGGAAUUUUGGACAAUGGGGGCAACCCUGAUCCAGCCAUGCCGCGUGAGUGAAGAAGGCCUUCGGGUUGUAAAGCUCUUUCAGCCGGAACGAAACGGUUACGGUUAAUACCUGUGAUUACUGACGGUACCGGAAGAAGAAGCACCGGCUAACUACGUGCCAGCAGCCGCGGUAAUACGUAGGGUGCGAGCGUUAAUCGGAAUUACUGGGCGUAAAGGGUGCGCAGGCGGUUUUGUAAGUCAGAUGUGAAAUCCCCGGGCUUAACCUGGGAACU